UCGCGUGAGGAGAUGUGGCACUCUCCUUUCUUUAUUACACUCCCUAGUUGAAUCAGUUAGAACUCCUAAUUUGGUUAGGACAUGAUCACAUAUAUGGUGCCUUAUGUGUAAAAGAAGGGACCUAAUUCACGAUGGAUGAGAGUUUUUAUUUUGUGCGAUAAAAAGGAAAGCAACUACUGCCUGAUGUUGUGCGAUAAGAA
Molecule: long non-coding RNA, 200 nt
Filed under: Elaeis guineensis (African oil palm)
Lineage: Eukaryota; Viridiplantae; Streptophyta; Magnoliopsida; Arecales; Arecaceae
Description: long non-coding RNA (EGUI_LNC080250)
Source: RNAcentral